CUGAUCUGGGAUGCAUGGCAAACUUCUACCAUUCUCUAGAACGCAUGGCAAACUUCUCUAGAAUGCAUGGCAAACUCACACAAGUUGUAAGACCAUGCAAUAACUCCCCCGGCAGAAUUGAGACGGAACAUUUAAUGACGGAACUAUUAGUUCCAUCCGGUGAACGUUUUCGCUGACGGACCAGAAAAUUACAUAUUUGUAAACAGAUUCAGUGAAUCUUCAUAUUGACCCCUUUUGUUGACAUCAUCACCCAAUGUGGAGGAGGAGCAUUCUUCUUUGUUACACACAUCCAUAUGUGGAUUCGUGUGAAAGCUCUCUCUCUCUCUCUCUCUCCCUCUCUCUCACACACACACACAGCACCACAGUUCUUCAAGUGUGUGUGUGUAUCGGCCUGUGUAAGAAAAACAGUGCCACCAAAAACUGUGCCAUGAGAAUUUCUGGCAAAGGCCAGACCUACUCCUCUUACUAUGCCAAUCUCUAGCAUUAACUCAGUAGGAUCAUCCGCCUCUAGCUAGUUGAUUAACAGAGCUGUGUUAAAGAGGGAUUGUUGUCCUGGAAGGAGCUUCCUGCCCUCGAGGAACACCAUCCGCUCAGACUGCCUCCCUCUGGGGCUCAGACGGCAGAUGCUUCGCCUGCAAGUUCCAGAGCCACCCCGCCCCAUAGAGGACCAUCCCACCCCAUAGAGGACCAUCCCACCCCAUAGAGGACCACCCGCCUGCCCUAACAGCCUCUAGGAGGGACCCACCCCAGGAGCACCAUGGAAGGGCUGGAUGUGGAGGACAUCAGUCCUGCCCUGGAGGCCACUGAGGACUUCCUACACUGCCUGGAUGGGGGUGGAGGCCAAAGCCACUGCCAGGGUGGGGAUGGGUUCCGGCAGCCUAGGCAACACCACCCCAAGCUGCAGGAGAUGUCUGCAGCCCUGGGGAAGCUGAGCUCUAGCGGGGUGUGGGGCCUGCUGGCCAGGGAGCAGGGGACCGAGGUGUCCCCCCGUAACGUGGCCUGGGCUGACCAGCCCUCUGCCUUCAGCGUGCUGGCUCUGAGGCAGGGGAAAAGGAGUCGUGCUCGUUCCACCAACGACCUGGCUGCCCACACCAAGGACACCAACAACACCACCUCUAACUCCUCCAACACCGCUUUUAAGAAAGGCCACAACCGCUCACGUUCUGAUGUCAACUACCGGCCGUCCUACACAGACAACGCUAAUGGCCUGCCUGCUGUGGACAAGAACAUGCUGAAGAACAUUGCUCUCAACGACCAGAGAGAAGAAGCCCAUAAGGACAGCAGCAGCGGCAGUGUGGUGAAGCAGGGCUCCCUGGAGCAUCGUGAGGGUCAGAAGGGUCGUUGGAGCAUCUGCCACCUAGAGCUGACCCCCUGUGAGCUGCGUCUCUACAGCCUGGACAGCAGUGGUAACCGUCAGCUCUGCACCGCCUACUCCCUGUCCCACUGCCAGGGGGUUAGCCAGCCCCAGCCACCACAGGACGGACGAGUCCUCCAGGCCCUCUUCUUCAACAGCUCCACCCGCCUGCAGUUACGUGCCGCCUGCCAGUGGGAGGCGCUAGACUGGAGGAGGCAGAUCUGGGAGAGAGUAUUGGCUGCCCGGCCCGCCCACAAACAGGCAGAACCGCCUCCAGUCUUAUCCCCGUCGUCAUCCAUCUCCUCUGGAGGUCUCGACACCAGACCAGACCCCAUUGGUCCUGCUGAGGCUGCCCUGACCCCUCAUACCUCGCAUCUCCCCCCAGCCCGGCCCACGGCCCUGCCCCUGUUUACCAAGCGCUGUGCUGAUGUCCUUAAGGUGGAUCUGCUCCACCAGCAGACUGACCUCAACAACUGGAGGGCUUUCACUUUUGUGCUGAGUCGUUCCACGCUGCAGGCCUUCCCAACCGAGGGCCGGGGGCCCGUGUCCGAGCCUGUCCUCCGCUACCCGCUGGCCUCCUGCCUGGCCGUGCAGAGGGACGAGGGGGCCAGCGCCGCCCGUUUCCAGGCAGUCUUCCCCAAAGAGGUGCUCCGUCUGCGGUCUGAGAGCCAACUCAAGGCCCAGGACUGGGUGGAGGCCCUGCGGACGGCCGUGGCGGCCCAGAGGCCCCAGGGGGAGGAGGGUCAGGGCUCCAGCCAGGCCCAGCCAGGUGCAGUGUCGAUGGGGACGGGGGUGCUGCUGAGGACCAAGCCCUCCAGGGAGAGGAGGCAGAGGGAUGCCCAGAGGGCCAAGAGACAGUCAGUCACCACCAGCUUCCUCAGUAUCCUCACCUGCCUGGCUGUGGAGAAGGGCCUGACCACCCAGAGCUUCAGGUGUGCAGGGUGUCAGAAGCCAGUAGGGUUGUCACGGGGCAAGGCCAAGGUGUGUCGCUACAGUGGCUGGUACUACUGCCAGAGCUGUCAUCAAGACAACCUGUUCCUCAUCCCUGCCCGCCUGCUGCACAACUGGGACACCAACAGACACAAGGUGUCCAAGCAGGCCAAGGAGUUCCUGGAGUUUGUGUAUGAGGAACCCCUGCUGGACGUGCAGCAGCUGAACCCGUGUCUGUAUGAACACUGUGAGGGCCUGGCUGCAGUACUGCGCCUGAGACAGCAGCUCCAGUCCCUCAGAGCAUACCUGUUCAGCUGCCGUGCUGCCGUGGCCGAGGACCUCCGUAGAAGGAUCUUCCCCAGAGAAUACCUACUGCAACACAUCCACCUGUACUCACUGGCUGACCUGCAGCAGGUGAUUGAUGGGAAGCUGGCCCCCUUUCUCUCCAAGGUGAUUAAGUUUGCCAGUUCCCACGUCUUCAGCUGCAGCCAGUGCAGAGAGAAGGGCUUCAUCUGUGAGAUGUGUCAGAACGGACAGGUCAUCUAUCCCUUCCAGGAGAGUGCCACUAAGAGAUGUGAUGGUUGUGGAGCGGUGUUCCAUACAGAGUGUCAUCAGAAGGCCCAGCCGUGUCCACGCUGCGUACACAGAGAGCUCCACCAUAAGAGAGCCUCGUCUUUCUGGAGCCCUGACGACGAUACACCAGGCUGCGUCACACUGCCUUACCAGUACACCUGAUCACAAAUACACACACACACACACCCGACACCCGGAGAUCACACACACACACACACACACACAGAUUGAAACAGCGGUGCCACUCCACAGAGCUACACUCACCAAAGUCAAUGGAAGCAUGUGUGUUUGUGUGUGUGAGCUGGCCAGGAUACACAGUGAGAGUGUUGAUGACUAAGAAAGGGUUAUGCUCUCUCACACACACCUGCUUUGUGAGCUACGCUGACGUCACUCUCACCUGGAAGAGAUGGAUCCUAACGCAACACCCACCGGAGAGGAACUGCUCUGCCUCUUAGCCUCUCUGCUAUGUGCUAUCUUCAUAGUGCUGCAUACACACACAAACACACAGAAACACACACUCACAAACACAAACACAGACAACAUAAAUAAAGGGAGAGGGACUGCUCUGCCUCUUAGCCUCUCUGCUAUGUGCUAUCUUCAUAGUGCUACACAAACACAGAAACACACACAUACACACUCAAACACAGACAACACAAAUAAAGGGAGAGGGACUAUGCUGACUCAACAGCAGUAAUGCGUCCUCUUGACUUUCUGGACACAGUCGCUCACACACACACACACAUCUGGAAAUGUAUAUUUCCAGCUCAUACAUUUCCGACAUCAGUGACCAACCUACAAGCUGAAACUAAUAUGCUGUUGGUGUGAUGUCACUAUAGCCUAUAUCUAUAGCCUAUAUCUGGACUCUGUUGGUGUGAUGUCACUAUAGCCUAUAUCUGUAGCCUAUAUCUGGACUCUGUUGGUGUGAUGUCGCAACUCGCUAUAUAUUUGGACUAUAUAUCUGAACUCUACAUGUCCGUACUUCACCACGCUGUCCCUCUGCCCUUCACUCUCUCUUUAUCCUCCCCUUCACAUGUUUUUGCACUAUUUAUGCAUGUUCAUUAGGAUGUCAAGCCACAGACUGGGUUAGUAGCCACUGUAUUUAAGGAUGAGUUUGCUUAUUUAACUCACCUAUUAGCUGUUAGAGCCCCUCUAACCAACCAACCUUUAUCCAGACAUAUUCAAUAGGAGGGUCCAAGUGGGGGACGCUUAUUAUGAUCAGGACACACUUGAAACUAGAAUGAGAUUGAGUCAUAGUAAUGUUCAAAUCGCAUAUCAUCCUAUCAUGUAUACUUUUUCCUUGAGCGUGAUAGGGGCAACUACUCCCUACUGCUGUCCUAUGGGGCUAGAGGCUGGUGGAUGUAUUGACUGUCUCCAUUAUAUUCAGUAGGAAAGGCUCCAUCAGGUCAGCCCUACAUCUCCAGGCCUCAGCCACAGAGGGCCCAAAUUACAGUCCAUGGAAAAGACCAUGCAGGGAUUAGUUAUGUUACGCAAGCCAUCUCAAACCCGCAGGAGCUAGGACUCAUUCUGCUGCUAUGACUCAGUGCUCUCACUCAUAUAUAUAUAUAUAUGAGUGAGAGAGAGAGAUUUGGUGAGGGGUGUCUAUGACUCCCAGUAGUGUGACUGGUCUAAGCUCAAAGGACUGGCGGUGGAGGAUGAGAGCCCCAGUGUGUGUACUGUAUGUGUGAGAGCCCCAGUGUGUGUACUGUAGGUGUGAGAGCCCCAGUGUGUGUACUGUAUGUGUGAGAGCCCCAGUGUGUGUACUGUAUGUGUGAGAGCCCCAGUGUGUGUA
This is a non-coding RNA of Oncorhynchus mykiss (rainbow trout), 4646 nucleotides long. Lineage: Eukaryota; Metazoa; Chordata; Actinopteri; Salmoniformes; Salmonidae. The record is from RefSeq and is a predicted model, not a curated record.